RNAcentral lists this long non-coding RNA (590 nucleotides) under Mustela putorius furo (domestic ferret). RNAcentral describes it as "lncRNA (ENSMPUG00000030006.1)". Lineage: Eukaryota; Metazoa; Chordata; Mammalia; Carnivora; Mustelidae. The record is from RNAcentral.
AUAAUUUAAAAUUUUGGAGUCAAGAAAAUAAGCCAGUGGAAUAGGAAGAAAACAUUUCUCUCACCUUAUGGUCUGAUUUCUUUUCUAUAGGCCAGCAGUCCUCAAGCCACCUUUUGUUCAAAAUUUGGAUUUUGUGGAGGUCACUGUUUCCUAGAGAUAGAUUUAAAAUGUUGUGCCCUUGCUUUCCAGGUUUUCAAAAUGCUUUUGAUAAAAAUCAUUUAAAGACAUGACUUUUUAAAAAAAAUGUUUUAGUAGGACUAACAAAAUCAUGUUAUUAAACAUGUGUCUACUGAGGGUUAUUUCUUUCAACUGUAAUUUCACUUUUUAAAAUAGCCUGCCCCAUGCAGCAAUAUGUUUAGGUACCUGUGUGAGGUAGGCUGUGAUUCUGUGACUUCAUAGAAGAGGUCAAGAAAAGGUGCUUGUGCUCCCAAUAUUUUAAGGCUCUUUUAAUGAGGACGUUUCCAGCAUGCUCUGCAAUAACAGAACUUCUACAGAAAUUCUCCAAAGAUGGGCGCCUGAGUGGCUCAGUCAGAUUUCCUGUAGUCUUACCUGGACUUUAUCACCACCAUUUGCCAUCAUCAUUAUCUUGA